CCUACGGGAGGCAGCAGUCGAGAAUCAUUCACAAUGGGGGAAACCCUGAUGGUGCGACGCCGCGUGGGGGAAUGAAGGUCUUCGGAUUGUAAACCCCUGUCAUGUGGGAGCAAAUUAAAAAGAUAGUACCACAAGAGGAAGAGACGGCUAACUCUGUGCCAGCAGCCGCGGUAAUACAGAGGUCUCAAGCGUUGUUCGGAAUCACUGGGCGUAAGGCGUGCGUAGGCUGUUUCGUAAGUCGUGUGUGAAAGGCGCGGGCUCAACCCGCGGACGGCACAUGAUACUGCGAGACUAGAGUAAUGUAGGGGGAACCGGAAUUCUCGGUGUAGCAGUGAAAUGCGUAGAUAUCGAGAGGAACACUCGUGGCGAAGGCGGGUUCCUGGACAUUAACUGACGCUGAGGCACGAAGGCCAGGGGAGCGAAAGGGAUUAGAUACCCGAGUAGUC
RNAcentral lists this ribosomal RNA (446 nucleotides) under uncultured bacterium. Its description in RNAcentral is "partial 16S ribosomal RNA". It matches the Rfam family "Bacterial small subunit ribosomal RNA", at positions 338 to 795 of the family's 1533-position model. The record is from RNAcentral.